GGCAGAGUUUGAGAUUUUCCUGAGCUGAGAGAGGGAGAGGCAGUAAAGGUCAGGGAGUUAGAUGCCUGUGAAUAAAUCUGGCUGGGCCUCCAACAGUAGUCUGAUUUGGGAAUAUGGGCCUUCACUUUGGAAUUAUAACAGAAGAUAUUGAAAUGCUACCAUAAACUGUUUCUCCUCUGUGAUGCCAUUCUGCCACAGCACCUUGCCUUAGAGCCAGCUGAUGAUGGACUAAAACCUCUACAACUGUGAGCCAAAAUAAACCUUUCCUCCUUUAACUUUGAGUAUUGGAUAUUUUGUUUCAAGAAGAAGAAAUUAACCAAGAUGGACUGUUUAGAAUCUUUUAAUUUCAGGUCUGGAUCUCAUUUAACCUCUUUUCCAUCUAUACUUAUGGAGCAAGCGCCCUUUCAUUCAGGAAUAUCACCUUGGUCACAUGUCAGAGUCCUCUGCUAUGAUAUUACUUAUGAGAUCUUCUUUACUUCAUUAAGAUUUGUG
RNAcentral lists this long non-coding RNA (492 nucleotides) under Heterocephalus glaber (naked mole-rat). RNAcentral's name for it is "lncRNA (ENSHGLG00100039210.1)". Lineage: Eukaryota; Metazoa; Chordata; Mammalia; Rodentia; Bathyergidae. The record is from RNAcentral.